CCACCUUGAAAAAUACAUCGCGGCUCCGGCUUUAAUUGUCUCGCACCUUCAGCCCUUUGCCAGCCAAGUUUGCCCGCAGCACGAGGAUGCGGUAGCCGGCCCCCCGCGCACCGUCGUUCCUCCUCCGCGGCGCUCGCUGCUCGUUCACGGCUGGUCACACGGCGGGUGCGCCAACUUUGGGAUUGCCUCGUUUUUUGAGGGUGGUCUUGGAUUUGCCUCGGCGCACGGAGGGAAGCAGCGGAGGACUCGACGCGGAGGAGAGAGGGCGAGAGGAGAGGAGAGAGAAAGGAGGGGGAGAGGGAAACAACAGGAGAAGCCUCCAUGUUUCAGCUGCCCAUCUUGAAUUUCAGCCCCCAGCAGGUCGCCGGGGUCUGCGAGACCCUGGAGGAGAGCGGGGACGUCGAGCGCCUCGGUCGCUUCCUGUGGUCGCUGCCCGUCGCGCCGGCGGCCUGCGAGGUCCUCAACAAGAACGAGUCGGUGCUGAGGGCCCGCGCCGUCGUCGCCUUCCACACUGGCAAUUUCCGUGAACUCUACCACAUCCUGGAGAACCACAAGUUCACCAAAGAGUCGCACACGAAGCUGCAGGCGCUGUGGCUCGAAGCGCACUACCAGGAGGCUGAGAAGCUGCGGGGACGCCCGCUGGGGCCGGUGGACAAAUACAGGGUGCGCAAGAAGUUCCCCUUACCCAGGACCAUCUGGGAUGGAGAGCAGAAGACCCACUGCUUCAAGGAGAGGACCCGGCACUUGUUACGAGAGUGGUACUUGCAGGAUCCGUACCCGAACCCCAGUAAAAAGAGGGAGCUUGCACAGGCUACAGGACUUACACCCACACAAGUAGGAAACUGGUUCAAAAACCGCAGACAAAGAGACAGAGCGGCGGCUGCGAAGAACAGGCUCCAGCAGCAGGUCCUGUCCGGCGGCUCGGUUCGCUCCCUGGCGGACGAGGACGGCACCGUGGACCGCCUGGGGAACUCGUCCAGUCCGGAGGCGAGUCUGUCCAGCAAAGCGGCGGCCUCAGCCAUCUCCAUCACCUCCAGCGACAGUGAAUGUGACAUCUGACACGGCCCCGGUGUUGAUGAAGUGGAGGGGGAUCCGAGUGAAAGACAAUCUAAUAAAAACGAGUCAUAGUGCCUGCGUUGAGUUAAAACACACAACACACACAUCACACACACACUGAUACUGACUGAUGCCAAAACGUGAGGGGAUCUGACUGUGCGUCCUUAUCCUGUUAUAGGCCUGUACACCUUUGGUUGCGUUUCACCCACGUGUGGAUAAACUGAACUUAACACGGACCAGACAUAUUUCACGGACUAAUCGCUAAACCGACGCCCUGAGAAGAAACGUAAAAAAGAAGAAAAAUAAAUCAACAACAACAAAAAAAAAAAAGAAGAAGAAAAGGAAAAAGGGGAUGAAGGGAUCCGAGCGCCUAACCUGCUGUUCUCUAGGCGACGCUUAAUUGGCCAGCAUGCCGGGCGUCCUGUAACGCAGGGUGACAGCGAGAGGUCACGCAGAGGCCGACGCACUAACCCGGAUGAUCUGCGGGAGAGAUCACACAGAUCACAACACGGCAGUCUGAGGAAAUGAGCUUUACACGGUUUACACAAACAGGCCUCUUCAUAAUAAAGUCCAGGUCCAAGUGUGCGUUAAAGCAACCAGGCCGUUCAUUGUUGCUGCAGAUGAAUCCUUUAAAUCAAAGGAGGCUCAAACCUCCAUUAUGACUGGUUUAUUA
This is an RNA transcript of Paralichthys olivaceus (Japanese flounder), 1729 nucleotides long. It is a transcript of the gene named SIX homeobox 6a, with no coding region annotated. NCBI's taxonomy places the organism in Eukaryota, Metazoa, Chordata, Actinopteri, Pleuronectiformes, Paralichthyidae. The record is from RefSeq and is a predicted model, not a curated record.